UACGGGGGGAGCAAGCGUUGUUCGGAUUUACUGGCGUAAAGAGCUCGUAGGCGGUUUGUCGCGUCGAAUGUGAAAACCCGGGGCUCAACCCCGGGCCUGCAUUCGAUACGGGCAGACUAGAGUACAGAAGGGGCAACUGGAAUUCUCGGUGUAGGCGGAUGAAUGCGUAGAUAUCGAGAGGAACACCUGCGGCGAAGGCGGGUUGCUGGGCUGAUACUGACGCUGAGGCGCGAAAGCCAGGGGAGCGAACGGG
RNAcentral lists this ribosomal RNA (253 nucleotides) under uncultured bacterium. RNAcentral describes it as "partial 16S ribosomal RNA". It matches the Rfam family "Bacterial small subunit ribosomal RNA", at positions 524 to 776 of the family's 1533-position model. The record is from RNAcentral.